CGGCUCCCAGAACCCCUUCUCCUCCCUCCCCCUCUCCCCGUCCUUUCCCUCCCUGCCUUCCCCGACACCCUGGGUUAGACAUCAAAGCUCAAGGCUGCCAGACUGGGGUUCUCUGACUCCACCCAUUGGGAAGGAGUUGGGUGGGUGAGGUCCCCUCCCAGCUGCUUCUGAAAACCCCCAAACAGAUGGGCUUGUAUUAGAGCUGGGCAGCUUGAGGCUCGGGCUGCCGAGAGGAGGCCGGACAAGGGGCUUCCUGGGUAGCCUGCACCUGCCAGGAGGGAGGGUCCAAAAGGAUUCCUUCCGCAAAGAUCCAGGCCUUGUACCCGCCGCACUCUGUAUCCGUGUCUCUCUGAGGCCUCCUGGUUUUCAGCUGCUGCUUCCCAGAAAAUUUGGAAAAUACAGGAAAGCAUAGAAAAGCAGAUAAAGUGCAUAUAAUAAUAAUACCACCACUCGGAGGCAACCAUGGUCAUUCCGGACUCCUAAAGCCGCCAGUCCCUCAGUGAGACAUGAGCGCCACUGGCGUCCGUGGCCUCUGUUUCCGUGGCAACCCAGUAACCAUUAAUUUUCAAUUAAAGGAGACAAAAAGCUGGAUGACAGCGCUAGGUCUGCUGAAGAUGUCAAGAAUCUGUAUUAAUAUACAGCAAGAGAGCAUAAUUGUGUGUCCAUCUUCCCGAGCAGCGAAAAAUGGAGGGAUAAUUACCAGCUCGAAAGCCACUCUGUAAUUUAGUUCUUACUGUCACCACAGCCCUACACAUUAGCAUAAAUUAAAAGCAGAGUUUAUUGUUAUCA
Myotis daubentonii (Daubenton's bat) is the source of this 789-nucleotide long non-coding RNA. RefSeq lists it as uncharacterized. NCBI's taxonomy places the organism in Eukaryota, Metazoa, Chordata, Mammalia, Chiroptera, Vespertilionidae. The record is from RefSeq and is a predicted model, not a curated record.